This 473-nucleotide ribosomal RNA is filed under the name uncultured bacterium. RNAcentral's name for it is "bacterial SSU rRNA". It matches the Rfam family "Bacterial small subunit ribosomal RNA", at positions 335 to 801 of the family's 1533-position model. The record is from RNAcentral.
ACUCCUACGGGAGGCAGCAGUAGGGAAUCUUCCACAAUGGGCGCAAGCCUGAUGGAGCAACACCGCGUGAGUGAAGAAGGGUUUCGGCUCGUAAAGCUCUGUUGUUAAAGAAGAACACGUAUGAGAGUAACUGUUCAUACGUUGACGGUAUUUAACCAGAAAGUCACGGCUAACUACGUGCCAGCAGCCGCGGUAAUACGUAGGUGGCAAGCGUUAUCCGGAUUUAUUGGGCGUAAAGAGAGUGCAGGCGGUUUUCUAAGUCUGAUGUGAAAGCCUUCGGCUUAACCGGAGAAGUGCAUCGGAAACUGGAUAACUUGAGUGCAGAAGAGGUAGUGGAACUCCAUGUGUAGCGGUGGAAUGCGUAGAUAUAUGGAAGAACACCAGUGGCGAAGGCGGCUACCUGGUCUGCAACUGACGCUGAGACUCGGAAGCAUGGGUAGCGAACAGGAUUAGAUACCCCUGGUAGGAUAGCG